Long non-coding RNA from Neopsephotus bourkii (Bourke's parrot), 863 nucleotides. RefSeq lists it as uncharacterized. The transcript is spliced from 2 exons. The record is from RefSeq and is a predicted model, not a curated record. Lineage: Eukaryota; Metazoa; Chordata; Aves; Psittaciformes; Psittacidae.
AAUAUCUUGUCUGUUUCAGCGAGUGUGCAGUCAUGGAAACAGAAUUCAACAUUUCCGGUGGAAUUACAUUUGACACCACAAGAGGGGGAACGCCUUUGCUUGAUGCUUUCAGGAAAGAAAGGCAGACAGCAGUUUUAUGACCUGCUCAGAACAUAAUCAGACCGGUAUCUGUGUUCUUGCCCAUACCAGAAGUCCUGAGAAGGACAGGCUUAGGUCCAGCGAAGAGUGGCAGCUGCAUGUUCUGAAUAAUGCUUUAAAAGAGCCUGCUGCAAAUUCAAAUGAAGUCAGAGUUCAAACAUUCCUCUUUCCUUACAGGAUUGCCCUCAUAUCUGUUGCAGAAAACAGAGUUUAUCAUCCUGGCUGUUUCCAGUACGUAAUAGCAUAUACGAGUACCUAAAUCAAAAGGAUUAUGAACACCCUUUUCAGAACUUCCACAUUAAGCAUGAAUAAUAAGCUAAUAAUAUCUAAUAAUAAAUCAGCUAUUUUACGAAAAUGGAAAAAAAAAAAAAAGGAGUCCCCCACCCUCAUAUUUCCCAUUUUUCUUCUUUAUUUUUUUCUCAGAUAAAUUUGUGAAAUCUACAAGUCCCUCUGAUAUUUAGUAGUGAAGAGCUACUUAUAAAGACACCCUUCGGAAAAUACAGCGCUUAGGUCAAAUCAGUUGCCAGUUUACCUCCUGCCAGUAUGAUGCAAGAAUUUCACUGUACAACAAACUUUCAGAGACCAUCGGACCACUGUCUGAGUCUGACCAGCCUUAGAUGUUGCUGUAAACCUCCUCUUUUGGUGGGUCCCAGGAGCAGCAAAGAAUGAGGAAAUAAAACCUCUCUAGAUUAAAAAGAAUACAGAUUUUUAUUCUGUUCAGCAAA